AUGCCUGAGCUGCAGGAGCUUUGUGGGGAAUCAGCUAUGGUGCAGCCGAUGAAGCCGGGCUCAUUGGAGUCCUUGGCCUCACCAUCACCGUCAGAGUCCUGCCAGUCGCUCGCCUUUGUGGAUAGUGGAUGUUUGGAUGGUUCUGUCACUCUCUCAUCUAUGCCCAUUGGGCAUGAGGUGUCCUUGAGUGACGAGGUUGAUGAGACAGGUGUGUUGGCGCCUAACUCUGAUGCUCUAUCAUGUGAGCAACUGGAGAUGUCUGAGUCCAUCGUGUCGGUUGCUUCUGUGGUUGAUGAUGUUUAG
This 303-nucleotide ribosomal RNA is filed under the name Triticum aestivum (bread wheat). RNAcentral's name for it is "partial small subunit ribosomal RNA". Lineage: Eukaryota; Viridiplantae; Streptophyta; Magnoliopsida; Poales; Poaceae. The record is from RNAcentral.